ACUUGUACUGAUUGAGAUUUUAACACGAAGUGAGUGGCGAACGGGUGAGUAACACGUGGGUAACCUGCCCAGAAGUAGGGGAUAACACCUGGAAACAGAUGCUAAUACCGUAUAACAGAGAAAACCGCAUGGUUUUCUUUUAAAAGAUGGCUCUGCUAUCACUUCUGGAUGGACCCGCGGCGUAUUAGCUAGUUGGUGAGGUAAAGGCUCACCAAGGCAGUGAUACGUAGCCGACCUGAGAGGGUAAUCGGCCACAUUGGGACUGAGACACGGCCCAGACUCCUACGGGAGGCAGCAGUAGGGAAUCUUCCACAAUGGACGCAAGUCUGAUGGAGCAACGCCGCGUGAGUGAAGAAGGGUUUCGGCUCGUAAAGCUCUGUUGUUAAAGAAGAACGUGGGUAAGAGUAACUGUUUACCCAGUGACGGUAUUUAACCAGAAAGCCACGGCUAACUACGUGCCAGCAGCCGCGGUAAUACGUAGGUGGCAAGCGUUAUCCGGAUUUAUUGGGCGUAAAGCGA
This 519-nucleotide ribosomal RNA is filed under the name Pediococcus pentosaceus. RNAcentral describes it as "bacterial SSU rRNA". It matches the Rfam family "Bacterial small subunit ribosomal RNA", at positions 66 to 568 of the family's 1533-position model. The record is from RNAcentral. Lineage: Bacteria; Bacillati; Bacillota; Bacilli; Lactobacillales; Lactobacillaceae.